GUCUACGGCCAUACCACCCUGAACGCGCCCGAUCUCGUAUGAUCUCGGAAGCUAAGCAGGGUCGGGCCUGGUUAGUACUUGGAUGGGAAGAAAUCUGAUGUAUGUGUAAU
Molecule: ribosomal RNA, 110 nt
Filed under: Mustela putorius furo (domestic ferret)
Lineage: Eukaryota; Metazoa; Chordata; Mammalia; Carnivora; Mustelidae
Source: RNAcentral